RNAcentral lists this ribosomal RNA (509 nucleotides) under uncultured bacterium. Its description in RNAcentral is "partial 16S ribosomal RNA". It matches the Rfam family "Bacterial small subunit ribosomal RNA", at positions 31 to 542 of the family's 1533-position model. The record is from RNAcentral.
GACGAACGCUGGCGGCGUGCUUAACACAUGCAAGUCGAACGGAAAGGCCCUGCUUUUGUGGGGUGCUCGAGUGGCGAACGGGUGAGUAACACGUGAGUAACCUGCCCUUGACUUUGGGAUAACUUCAGGAAACUGGGGCUAAUACCGGAUAGGAGCUCCUGCUGCAUGGUGGGGGUUGGAAAGUUUCGGCGGUUGGGGAUGGACUCGCGGCUUAUCAGCUUGUUGGUGGGGUAGUGGCUUACCAAGGCUUUGACGGGUAGCCGGCCUGAGAGGGUGACCGGCACCAGUGGCGCGGCGACGCCGCGCGGACUGCGGAGGGAGGCAGCGGUGGGGGAUACUGGACAGGGGGCGGACGCCGGGUGCCGCAACGCGGCGGGGGUGUGGACGGGCGUGGGUGUGUCAACCGCUUCCGCUUGUGAGGGUGGGGGAGGGAGGGUAAUGAGGAAAGAAGCACCAGCUAACUACGGACCGGCGGAAGCGGUAAGAGGCGGAAGAGCACACGUUUGAAC